This 579-nucleotide ribosomal RNA is filed under the name Escherichia coli. RNAcentral's name for it is "partial 23S ribosomal RNA". It matches the Rfam family "Bacterial large subunit ribosomal RNA", at positions 2343 to 2916 of the family's 2925-position model. Lineage: Bacteria; Pseudomonadati; Pseudomonadota; Gammaproteobacteria; Enterobacterales; Enterobacteriaceae. The record is from RNAcentral.
AGGUUAGUGCAAUGGCAUAAGCCAGCUUGACUGCGAGCGUGACGGCGCGAGCAGGUGCGAAAGCAGGUCAUAGUGAUCCGGUGGUUCUGAAUGGAAGGGCCAUCGCUCAACGGAUAAAAGGUACUCCGGGGAUAACAGGCUGAUACCGCCCAAGAGUUCAUAUCGACGGCGGUGUUUGGCACCUCGAUGUCGGCUCAUCACAUCCUGGGGCUGAAGUAGGUCCCAAGGGUAUGGCUGUUCGCCAUUUAAAGUGGUACGCGAGCUGGGUUUAGAACGUCGUGAGACAGUUCGGUCCCUAUCUGCCGUGGGCGCUGGAGAACUGAGGGGGGCUGCUCCUAGUACGAGAGGACCGGAGUGGACGCAUCACUGGUGUUCGGGUUGUCAUGCCAAUGGCACUGCCCGGUAGCUAAAUGCGGAAGAGAUAAGUGCUGAAAGCAUCUAAGCACGAAACUUGCCCCGAGAUGAGUUCUCCCUGACUCCUUGAGAGUCCUGAAGGAACGUUGAAGACGACGACGUUGAUAGGCCGGGUGUGUAAGCGCAGCGAUGCGUUGAGCUAACCGGUACUAAUGAACCGUGAGG